AACGUAGGAGGCUAGCGUUAUCCGGAUUUAUUGGGCGUAAAGCGCGUGCAGGCGGUUUAUCAAGUUGGAUGUGAAAGCUCCUGGCUUAACUGGGAGAGGUCGUUCAAAACUGAUAGACUAGAGAAUGGUAGAGGGAGGUGGAAUUCCGGGUGUAGUGGUGAAAUGCGUAGAUAUCCGGAGGAACACCAGUGGCGAAAGCGGCCUCCUGGGCCAUUUCUGACGCUAAGACGCGAAAGCUAGGGUAGCAAACGGG
This 253-nucleotide ribosomal RNA is filed under the name uncultured prokaryote. RNAcentral describes it as "partial 16S ribosomal RNA". It matches the Rfam family "Bacterial small subunit ribosomal RNA", at positions 524 to 776 of the family's 1533-position model. The record is from RNAcentral.